RNAcentral lists this ribosomal RNA (398 nucleotides) under uncultured bacterium. RNAcentral describes it as "bacterial SSU rRNA". It matches the Rfam family "Bacterial small subunit ribosomal RNA", at positions 359 to 774 of the family's 1533-position model. The record is from RNAcentral.
GAAUAUUGGACAAUGGGCGCAAGCCUGAUCCAGCCAUGCCGCGUGAGUGAUGAAGGCCUUAGGGUUGUAAAGCUCUUUCGGCGGGGGCGAUAAUGACGGUACCCGCAGAAGAAGCCCCGGCCAACUUCGUGCCAGUAGCCGCGGUAAUACGAAGGGGGCUAGCGUUGUUCGGAAUCACUGGGCGUAAAGGGCGCGUAGGCGGCUUUAUAAGUCGGGGGUGAAAGCCUGUGGCUCAACCACAGAAUUGCCUUCGAUACUGUAUGGCUUGAGACCGGAAGAGGUAAGUGGAACUGCGAGUGUAGAGGUGAAAUUCGUAGAUAUUCGCAAGAACACCAGUGGCGAAGGCGGCUUACUGGUCCGGAUCUGACGCUGAGGCGCGAAAGCGUGGGGAGCAAACA